RNAcentral lists this ribosomal RNA (303 nucleotides) under uncultured bacterium. RNAcentral's name for it is "partial 16S ribosomal RNA". It matches the Rfam family "Bacterial small subunit ribosomal RNA", at positions 507 to 807 of the family's 1533-position model. The record is from RNAcentral.
AGCAGUAGCCGCGGGAAUACGUAGGUGGCAAGCGUUGUCCGGAAUUAUUGGGCGUAAAGGGCUCGCAGGCGGUUUCUUAAGUCUGAUGUGAAAGCCCCCGGCUCAACCGGGGAGGGUCAUUGGAAACUGGGAAACUUGAGUGCAGAAGAGGAGAGUGGAAUUCCACGUGUAGCGGUGAAAUGCGUAGAGAUGUGGAGGAACACCAGUGGCGAAGGCGACUCUCUGGUCUGUAACUGACGCUGAGGAGCGAAAGCGUGGGGAGCGAACAGGAUUAGAUACCCGGGUAGUCCCUGUCUCUUAUAC